Molecule: long non-coding RNA, 1260 nt
Organism: Homo sapiens (human)
Lineage: Eukaryota; Metazoa; Chordata; Mammalia; Primates; Hominidae
Product: long intergenic non-protein coding RNA 343
Source: Ensembl
AUGGGAAAGAAACCUGGAAAGGUAGGGAGGUAUGGAUAUGGACAAGCUAUGCCAAGGAGCAGGGCUUUGUCAUGGAGAGUGACUAGGUGCUUUUACAUAGGAAAGUCACCUGAUAAUAUUAAAACCUGUGAAAUAUCACUCUGGUGGAAGUGUGAAUGAAUUUGAAAGGGGUGUAACACUGUUCUACUUUGUUUACUCCUCAGUACCCUUGGCUGUGUACAUUUGAGUAAAGAGAGCACUAUAAAAUCAAAAACCAAUGAAAUGGUUUCCAGAACACAGAACUAUUAAGCUUAAGAAAAGGACAGAAGGAACUGAAGAGAGAGGAACUGUUUUGGAGCAUCACACUUCCACCUCAGAAGAAAUAAGGAAGGAAGGAGGAGGGUGUUCCCACGGCUCUUCAACCAGGCCGGCUCUUCAGCCUACAUCCCCAUCUCAUCAAGUAAAAGGGAUUUUUCAACUGGACCAACCAGAUGGUUUAACAGUGCACUCCCACACCAUUCAACUACGCAAGGGAGAUACACUUAACAUAUGCAGUCGUAUAACACCUACUAACAUUUUCAAACAUUAAACCUUUAAAAAAGAGUUCUAAAGAAAUAGAAGCUUGAAGUAUCAUCUCUCAAGUAUAUAGACACUACUUCAUGGUGUGGUAAUAUAUGCAUAUAGAAGCUAGUAAACACCUCCAGGAGAUGCAAAAGGAAUUAGAACUGCCACAAGGUGCAAGCAAAACCUUGAGAGGCUAACAUCUGCCACAAGACAAAUAUGGUGCCUGCCCCCAUGGAGCUCAUAUUCGAAUGGAGAAAAUGUCAACAAGUAUCCCACGGAGUGAACACUUCAAAAGGAGAAGCACAGGUGAGAAAAUCGAAUUUGGACACCGUUGAGGAGACUAUUGCAGUCAUCCAAGCUCAAGAUGGUGGAGCUUCAUCCUUGAGAAUAACCAAUGGGGAUAGAUUUAAGAGACACUUAGAGUCUGCAGCCAACAGGGCUGAAUGAGCAGAGAGUUAUGAUUCAGAAGAUCAUCUAAAAUUGAACAGCUGCCACUACUGGCAAUAAGUCUACUGCCAUUUGGUAGAUAACCUUCUUAUCACACAGAAAAAUAUCAGUACAGACAAAUAGACCGCAAAGAAAAUGAGACCAUCAGCAAAGAAGAUAAAGAAGUUUGUACAAAGCAACUUUUUAUAAAUGGAUGGCUGUCAGGCAAAAAUAAAUUUCCUGUGGACAAGACCAAGAGCAAGGCAAGAGGAAAAUAAACAUGUUUAAACU